RNAcentral lists this ribosomal RNA (985 nucleotides) under uncultured bacterium. Its description in RNAcentral is "bacterial SSU rRNA". It matches the Rfam family "Bacterial small subunit ribosomal RNA", at positions 59 to 1083 of the family's 1533-position model. The record is from RNAcentral.
AAGUCGAGCGGACAGAUGGGAGCUUGCUCCCUGAUGUUAGCGGCGGACGGGUGAGUAACACGUGGGUAACCUGCCUGUAAGACUGGGAUAACUCCGGGAAACCGGGGCUAAUACCGGAUGGUUGUUUGAACCGCAUGGUUCAAGGGUAAAAGGUGGCUUCUGCUAUCACUUUCGGAUGGGCCCCCGGCGCAUUAUCUAGUUGGUGAGGUAACGGCUCACCAAGGCGACGAUGCGUAGCCCACCUGAGAGGGUGAUCCGCCACACUGGGACUGAGACACCGCCCCCACUCCUACGGGAGGCAGCAGUAAGGAAUCUUCCGCAAUGGACGAAAGUCUGACGGAGCAACGCCGCGUGAGUGAUGAAGGUUUUCGGAUCGUAAAGCUCUGUUGUGAGGGAAGAACCGGUACCGUUCGAAUAGGGCGGUACCUUGACGGUACCUCACCAGAAAGCCACGGCUAACUACGUGCCACAGCCGCGGUAAUACGUAGGUGGCAAGCGUUGUCCGGAAUUAUUGGGCGUAAAGGGCUCGCAGGCGGUUUCUUAAGUCUGAUGUGAAAGCUCCCGGCUCAACCGGGAAAGGUCAUUGGAAACUGGGGAACUUGAGUGCAGAAGAGGAAGUGGAAUUCCCGUGUAGCGGUGAAAUGCGUAUAGAUGUGGAGGAACACCAUGGCGAAGCGACUCUCUGGUCUGUACUGACGCUGAGGAGCGAAACGUGUGGAGCGAACAGGAUUAUAUACCUGGUGUCCCGCCGUAACGAUGAGUGCUAAUGUUAGGGGUUCCGCCCUUAUGCUGCACUAAGCUUUAGCCUCCCCUGGGGAGACGGUCCAAGAUGAACUCAAGGAUUGACGGGGCCCCACAACGUGGAGCUGUGGUUAAUUCCAGCACGCGAAAACUUACCGGGCUGAAUCCUUGACACCCAAAAUAGGCUUCCCUUCGGGGCAAAUGCAGUGGGGCUGGUGUCCCCCCCCGUCUGGAAUUGGGUAAU